GACAGAGGCCCCAAGCGUUAGGCGGAAUCACUGGGCUUAAAGCGUGUGUAGGCGGAUCGUUAAGUGUCUUGUGAAAUCCCACGGCUCACCCGUGGAACUGCUGGGCAUACUGGCGAUCUUGGGCCAACUAGGGGCAGUCGGAACAAGCGGUGGAGCGGUGAAAUGCGUAGAUAUCGGAAGGAACGCCGGUGGCGAAAGCGACGUGCUGGACCCUUUCUGACGCUGAGGCGCGAAAGCUAGGGGAGCAAACAGG
Molecule: ribosomal RNA, 253 nt
Filed under: uncultured bacterium
Lineage: Bacteria
Description: partial 16S ribosomal RNA
Rfam family: Bacterial small subunit ribosomal RNA
Source: RNAcentral